Molecule: ribosomal RNA, 843 nt
Filed under: Staphylococcus aureus
Lineage: Bacteria; Bacillati; Bacillota; Bacilli; Caryophanales; Staphylococcaceae
Description: partial 23S ribosomal RNA
Rfam family: Bacterial large subunit ribosomal RNA
Source: RNAcentral
AGAUUAAGUUAUUAAGGGCGCACGGUGGAUGCCUUGGCACUAGAAGCCGAUGAAGGACGUUACUAACGACGAUAUGCUUUGGGGAGCUGUAAGUAAGCUUUGAUCCAGAGAUUUCCGAAUGGGGAAACCCAGCAUGAGUUAUGUCAUGUUAUCGAUAUGUGAAUACAUAGCAUAUCAGAAGGCACACCCGGAGAACUGAAACAUCUUAGUACCCGGAGGAAGAGAAAGAAAAUUCGAUUCCCUUAGUAGCGGCGAGCGAAACGGGAAGAGCCCAAACCAACAAGCUUGCUUGUUGGGGUUGUAGGACACUCUAUACGGAGUUACAAAGGACGACAUUAGACGAAUCAUCUGGAAAGAUGAAUCAAAGAAGGUAAUAAUCCUGUAGUCGAAAAUGUUGUCUCUCUUGAGUGGAUCCUGAGUACGACGGACACGUGAAAUUCCGUCGGAAUCUGGGAGGACCAUCUCCUAAGGCUAAAUACUCUCUAGUGACCGAUAGUGAACCAGUACCGUGAGGGAAAGGUGAAAAGCACCCCGGAAGGGGAGUGAAAUAGAACCUGAAACCGUGUGCUUACAAGUAGUCAGAGCCCGUUAAUGGGUGAUGGCGUGCCUUUUGUAGAAUGAACCGGCGAGUUACGAUUUGAUGCAAGGUUAAGCAGUAAAUGUGGAGCCGUAGCGAAAGCGAGUCUGAAUAGGGCGUUUAGUAUUUGGUCGUAGACCCGAAACCAGGUGAUCUACCCUUGGUCAGGUUGAAGUUCAGGUAACACUGAAUGGAGGACCGAACCGACUUACGUUGAAAAGUGAGCGGAUGAACUGAGGGUAGCGGAGAAAUUCCAAUCGAACCUG